RNAcentral lists this ribosomal RNA (253 nucleotides) under uncultured bacterium. Its description in RNAcentral is "partial 16S ribosomal RNA". It matches the Rfam family "Bacterial small subunit ribosomal RNA", at positions 524 to 776 of the family's 1533-position model. The record is from RNAcentral.
UACGAAGGGGGCUAGCGUUGUUCGGAUUUACUGGGCGUAAAGCGCACGUAGGCGGAUCGUUAAGUCGGGGGUGAAAUCCUGGGGCUCAACCCCAGAACUGCCUUCGAUACUGGCGAUCUCGAGUCCGGAAGAGGUGAGUGGAACUCCUAGUGUAGAGGUGGAAUUCGUAGAUAUUAGGAAGAACACCAGUGGCGAAGGCGGCUCACUGGCCCGAUACUGACGCUGAGGAGCGAAAGCGUGGGGAGCGAACAGG